This 75-nucleotide transfer RNA is filed under the name Brucella anthropi. RNAcentral's name for it is "tRNA-Met". It matches the Rfam family "tRNA". From Rfam's summary of the family: Transfer RNA (tRNA) molecules are approximately 80 nucleotides in length. Their secondary structure includes four short double-helical elements and three loops (D, anti-codon, and T loops). The record is from RNAcentral. Lineage: Bacteria; Pseudomonadati; Pseudomonadota; Alphaproteobacteria; Hyphomicrobiales; Brucellaceae. RNAcentral also lists the same sequence under 16 other names.
CGCAGGAUAGAGCAGCGGUAGCUCAGUUGGUUCAUACCCAACAGGUCGCGGGUUCGAAUCCCGCUCCUGCAACCA